UGGGGAAUAUUGGACAAUGGGGGCAACCCUGAUCCAGCAAUGCCGCGUGUGUGAAGAAGGUUUUCGGAUUGUAAAGCACUUUCGACGGGGACGAUGAUGACGGUACCCGUAGAAGAAGCCCCGGCUAACUUCGUGCCAGCAGCCGCGGUAAUACGAAGGGGGCUAGCGUUGCUCGGAAUGACUGGGCGUAAAGGGCGUGUAGGCGGUUUGUACAGUCAGAUGUGAAAUCCCCGGGCUUAACCUGGGAGCUGCAUUUGAUACGUGCAGACUAGAGUGUGAGAGAGGGUUGUGGAAUUCCCAGUGUAGAGGUGAAAUUCGUAGAUAUUGGGAAGAACACCGGUGGCGAAGGCGGCAACCUGGCUCAUAACUGACGCUGAGGCGCGAAAGCGUGGGGAGCAAACAGGAUUAGAUACCCUGGU
RNAcentral lists this ribosomal RNA (419 nucleotides) under uncultured bacterium. Its description in RNAcentral is "partial 16S ribosomal RNA". It matches the Rfam family "Bacterial small subunit ribosomal RNA", at positions 355 to 791 of the family's 1533-position model. The record is from RNAcentral.